This 717-nucleotide unclassified non-coding RNA is filed under the name Hevea brasiliensis (rubber tree). Lineage: Eukaryota; Viridiplantae; Streptophyta; Magnoliopsida; Malpighiales; Euphorbiaceae. The record is from RNAcentral.
AUGGGCCGAAAAAUGGGGGACUGGGAUGGCAUUCUUUGUUUAUAAUCUCUCCACAAAGAUUUGGGUUUGAUAAAAAUGAAGAGAGUUCAAAACGAAGUAAUGUGGGGGUAACUGGGAUUGCACCACUGAAGUUGUUAUAUGAAAUAUUGAAUGUCCGGAGAGAUGACUGGUUUAAUGGAGGUAUGGUGCCAUUGAACCUGUUCCAGUCGAGAUGCAGGUAGUACAAGCCGUCCAGAUAGGUUAGCCAGGUGGGUAUUUUUCCAGUUAGAUUGUUGUGGGAGAGAUCAAUAGUACGGAGUCUAUGAAGGGAAUGGAUUGAAGGAGGAAAAGAACCUGUAAAGGAGUUAUGAUCGAGAAAGAGGGAUUUGAGAUUGAGGAGCUUGGACAAAUCCGGAAUGGGUCCGUUUAGCGAGUUGUUCUGGAGACUGAGCACACGAAGCUGGUCAAGGCGAGUCAAAGUGUUGGGGAGGAAAACACCGCCAAGAUCUAGGCCUUGGAGAACUAGGUGCACCACUUUUUGCUGGAAGCAUUUCACUCCUUUCCAUUGACAGAAAUGGAAGCUUGUAUUUUGAGAAUACGGAAGAUUGUCGUUCAAAUCAGCUUUAGAUUUGAAGUCUAGAAGUGCAGAGGCAUCAGAUGGCUGUAGUAAGUUCACUGCUGAAGCAGGAGAGCUAGAAGCCGCUACCAUAGUGAUUAACGACAGUAGAAGAAAACCAU